Molecule: long non-coding RNA, 478 nt
Organism: Dermochelys coriacea (leatherback sea turtle)
Lineage: Eukaryota; Metazoa; Chordata; Testudines; Dermochelyidae
Exons: 3
Source: RefSeq, a predicted model, not a curated record
CCUUCCACUGAAUACGCCACACACCUUCCCAUGAACAUCCCAUAUAACGUGAGAGAGGAGAGCAAAGAAUCUUGAGCAACGCAGAGCUGGAGCCAGAGCCAGGAUGGGGAGAUGAAGAUUUUCCAGCAGUGAUGGAGAAAGGAGGCUUGGAAGGCAAGUUGGGUUGGCAAGUUUGGAGGACAUCCCCGAAGGAGACAUGUGGAAGAGGCUCAGAAUGUGAACUAUAUUAGCAAUUCUCCAAUCAAGUGAGGACAAAGAAGACUCCUAGAUGUUAUGGCCAGAAGGGGCCACCGGUUUAUCUAAUCUGAUCUCCUGCAUAGCACAGGCCAGAGAUGCUCACCCGGACACCAUCAAGAUAGAGUUCCUGCCAGCAAUAGGAAGAAAGCCUUUGACUGAGGAUUCUGGGACUACACAACGGUUUCCCCUGAGCAGCCAGAAUGCCAGUGGUGAAACGUCACCAAACACAGCCUCUGCCAAC